Molecule: transfer RNA, 87 nt
Filed under: Candidatus Peribacteria bacterium RIFOXYC2_FULL_58_10
Lineage: Bacteria; Candidatus Peregrinibacteriota; Candidatus Peribacteria
Also listed under: 3 other names
Description: tRNA-Leu
Rfam family: tRNA
About the family: Transfer RNA (tRNA) molecules are approximately 80 nucleotides in length. Their secondary structure includes four short double-helical elements and three loops (D, anti-codon, and T loops).
Source: RNAcentral
GCCGACGUGGCGGAAUUGGUAGACGCGCACGCUUCAGGAGCGUGUGGGAGCAAUCCCAUGAGAGUUCGAUUCUCUCCGUCGGCACCA